CACGAUGGCCGGGCUGACAUCGGCCUUGACCAACUUUGAAAUCCUCAAAACGAACGAAUGAUUCUUAAUUCGGAUAUUAGGAGCUCGCGGUGAAGGAGAAAUUCUCCUGAUAUUCGAAGCAAAUUGGCAUGUUCUGUGAUUCAUAUUAGAAUUCACGCCACUUUAUGUAUCCCGUAUCGAAAAGAUGCCUGCAAGGCUGAAUUGCACCGUAAGCAUCACAAUUAGUAUCGUCAAUUUUUGACAAUAUUCCAAGUAAUCAAAACGCUGCGUUUGAACGGUACAAGUGGAAAAGGUUUCGAGAAUGUGUGUGUUAAGUAAAGUACAAUUGUUUUUGAAUUGCUUAUUGAGAAUUGCUGAAUGGUAGCGGAACCGGUAAUCUAUACCACAGGACCAGUAAUAAUAACACAUCCAGGCCAAACCUCCGUACGCAGGACUGACUGUCUCGCUAUGGGUAAACAAAUUUCAGAAAAGGCAGUCCCGAUACUUUUUGGGGUUGUAGUAUACCACAAAAAAGAGGAUGAAAUCAAUACCAACUGAUGUCCGUCCAGGAUCACUCCUCUCCUAUUCCGUCCAGAAAAGCAAUAGCUGGUGAAGAUGGUGUUAAUAUUACCACGACCGAGCUACCGCGGGGUAAGGAAUUUUGAAAUUUGCUUAGACAUUUUACUAAACAAGCUAAUUUAUGUUUUUGGUUGUAGAAAACGGAAUAUAUGUCAUGCGAUCUGAAAAUAUUCCUUUUCCGUGAUCAAUCUUUCAAUAUUUGAUCAUGAAACCCGGAUUGAAGAGACUACAAGUCCGCCUCAAAGACUUAACUAUUUUGGGGUUUGAAGUAGAAUUGUUGUGCGCAAUUCUGACGGAGCCAAGUCCGUUGCGCAAAAGGAUAGUAAAUUGGAAAUUUUGGAUGGUUAAAAAGAAGCAAUUCCACGAUGGUCGGGUUGAAAUUGGCCAUGACCAACUUUCGGCAAAAAAAAAACGUAUAAUUCUCAAACAGGAUCGGUUCCUUUGGUUGUAGCAGAUGAAAUUCACCUAAUGUUCGAAGCAAAUUGGCAUAUUCAGUCUGUAAGGCUGGAUUUCACUGUAAGUACCAUAGUAUCGCCAACGUAAGCCGUAAUUACAUCAGAAAAUUUACAGCAUGAUAAAAAAAAACUUGGGGCGGCCCGGUGGUACAUGUGAAAAACGGCGCCCGCCCUCACGGCAGGACCGGGUUCAAAUCCCAUCCGGACCGUACCCCCGUAGCAAAGUCUGACUAUCCUGCUACGUGGUAAAAUAAGUCUUGAUACGGCCAGGCCCGUUCUAACCGAGCAAAAAAAAAAAUAAAAAAACUUCUACUAGAUGUGACGAAAACUCAAUAGAAUCGGCA
This is a long non-coding RNA of Anopheles funestus (African malaria mosquito), 1357 nucleotides long. RefSeq lists it as uncharacterized. NCBI's taxonomy places the organism in Eukaryota, Metazoa, Arthropoda, Insecta, Diptera, Culicidae. The record is from RefSeq and is a predicted model, not a curated record. The transcript is spliced from 2 exons.